Molecule: ribosomal RNA, 557 nt
Filed under: uncultured Leucothecium
Lineage: Eukaryota; Fungi; Ascomycota; Eurotiomycetes; Onygenales; Gymnoascaceae
Description: SSU rRNA
Rfam family: Eukaryotic small subunit ribosomal RNA
Source: RNAcentral
GGAAGGGGUGUAUUUAUUAGAUUAAAAACCAAUGCCCUUCGGGGCUCUCUGGUGAUUCAUAAUAACUUCUCGAAUCGCACGGCCUUGCGCCGGCGAUGGUUCAUUCAAAUUUCUGCCCUAUCAACUUUCGACGGCUGGGUCUUGGCCAGCCAUGGUGGCAACGGGUAACGGGGAAUUAGGGUUCGAUUCCGGAGAGGGAGCCUGAGAAACGGCUACCACGUUUACGGAUGGCAGCAGGCGCGCAAAUUACCCAAUCCCAAUACGGGGAGGUAGUGACAAAAAAUACUGAUACAGGGCUCUUUCGGGUCUUGUAAUUGGAAUGAGUUCAAUCUUAAACCCCUUGACGAGGAACAAUUGGAGGGCAAGUCUGGUGCCAGCAGCCGCGGUAAUUCCAGCUCCAAUAGCGUAUAUUAAAGUUGUUGCAGUUAAAAAGCUCGUAGUUGAACCUUGGGUUCGGCUGGUGGUCCGCCUCGCGGCGUGUACUAAUCGGCGGAGCCUUUCCUCCUGGAGAACCGCAUGCCCUUCACUGGGUGUGCCGGGGAACCAGGACUUUUACA